This 486-nucleotide long non-coding RNA is filed under the name Homo sapiens (human). RNAcentral describes it as "novel transcript". The record is from RNAcentral. Lineage: Eukaryota; Metazoa; Chordata; Mammalia; Primates; Hominidae.
UCUUGGGUCUUUGUGCGUGUUUUUAUCUGUAAAAUUGCUAAGAGUGGAAUUUCUAGGUUAAAGCUUUUUGCGUUUAAAAAUGUGUAGAUACUGCAAAUCAAUUGCCCUCCAAAAAGGACCACACCAAUUUAUACGCUUAUAAACAAAGCCUGUGAGUGUUUCUUACCUGACACCCUCAGUCCCACUGGAUACUUUAAAACUCUUUCAUCCUUACCAAUCUAAUCAGUGAAAAAUGGAACUGCAGGUUAUUGGUUUUCCCUUGCUCAUUUAAAAAAUGUUGGUGUGAAUGAUUUGGGGACCCUUGGUCUAUCAAAGAAAUUACCUUUUUGUCGUAUGUAUUCUAUGUGUAUUCCCUAGUUUGUCUUUUAACUUUAAUUUCUGCUUGUAAAGAUAUUUCUGUACAGUGUUUUACAUUUCAAUGUAAUUAAGUGGAUCAGUUUUUUUAUUUAUGAUUUCUGGAGCUCAAUAAAUAUUAAGUGAAUCCAA